This 351-nucleotide long non-coding RNA is filed under the name Nicotiana benthamiana. RNAcentral's name for it is "long non-coding RNA (NBEN_LNC007760)". Lineage: Eukaryota; Viridiplantae; Streptophyta; Magnoliopsida; Solanales; Solanaceae. The record is from RNAcentral.
ACCACCUCUGUAUUCUCUCAUCUCAUCUCCUCACCCUCAAACCCUAGCCCUUCAACUACUGAUCUCCCUUCUCCAUUCUUCUCUGGUGAUCUCUCAUCGACUCCUAAGCCUCCAAUGGCUUCUCUCAUGCCAUGCCUGCCUUCUCUAAGUUCUUCAAGGGCCCAGGGCCACACUGAAUUGCAUCCAGGGUUUGUCAUUUAUCUGUUCUUGGCUACUCCAGUGUUAUUUCAAGCAAAAUCAUAUUGUUUUUGUUACGAUCCUUGGGAUUCUACAUAGGUUCUUUCAUCUCUAUAAGGUUUUCUUCUGAAACCCUUAUUUCUUCCUAUAUUUCUUAGAUAUCUCCAUAUCUAG